This 329-nucleotide unclassified non-coding RNA is filed under the name soil metagenome. Its description in RNAcentral is "partial contains 5.8S ribosomal RNA, internal transcribed spacer 2, and large subunit ribosomal RNA". The stretch from base 1 to 120 matches the Rfam family "5.8S ribosomal RNA", at positions 35 to 154 of the family's 154-position model. The record is from RNAcentral.
GAUGAAGAACGUAGCGAAAUGCGAUAAGUAAUGUGAAUUGCAGAAUUCAGUGAAUCAUCGAAUCUUUGAACGCACAUUGAGCCCCUUGGUAUUCCGAGGGGCAUGCCUGUUCGAGCGUCAUUAUAACCCCUCAAGCUCAGCUUGGUGUUGGGGCCUGCUGCACUGGCAGCCCUUAAAAUCAGUGGCGGCGCCAUCUGGCUCUAAGCGUAGUAAUUCUUCUCGCUAUGGAGUCCUGGUGGAUGCUUGCCAUCAACCCCCAAUUUUUCUAUGGUUGACCUCGGAUCAGGUAGGGAUACCCGCUGAACUUAAGCAUAUCAAUAAGCGGAGGA